AUUGAACGCUGGCGGCAGGCCUAACACAUGCAAGUCGAGCGGAUGAAGGGAGCUUGCUCCUGGAUUCAGCGGCGGACGGGUGAGUAAUGCCUAGGAAUCUGCCUGGUAGUGGGGGAUAACGUCCGGAAACGGGCGCUAAUACCGCAUACGUCCUGAGGGAGAAAGUGGGGGAUCUUCGGACCUCACGCUAUCAGAUGAGCCUAGGUCGGAUUAGCUAGUUGGUGGGGUAAAGGCCUACCAAGGCGACGAUCCGUAACUGGUCUGAGAGGAUGAUCAGUCACACUGGAACUGAGACACGGUCCAGACUCCUACGGGAGGCAGCAGUGGGGAAUAUUGGACAAUGGGCGAAAGCCUGAUCUAGCCAUGCCGCGUGUGUGAAGAAGGUCUUCGGAUUGUAAAGCACUUUAAGUUGGGAGGAAGGGCAGUAAGUUAAUACCUUGCUGUUUUGACGUUACCAACAGAAUAAGCACCGACUAACUUCGUG
Molecule: ribosomal RNA, 484 nt
Filed under: uncultured bacterium
Lineage: Bacteria
Description: partial 16S ribosomal RNA
Rfam family: Bacterial small subunit ribosomal RNA
Source: RNAcentral